This 253-nucleotide ribosomal RNA is filed under the name uncultured Prosthecobacter sp. RNAcentral describes it as "partial 16S ribosomal RNA". It matches the Rfam family "Bacterial small subunit ribosomal RNA", at positions 524 to 776 of the family's 1533-position model. Lineage: Bacteria; Pseudomonadati; Verrucomicrobiota; Verrucomicrobiia; Verrucomicrobiales; Verrucomicrobiaceae. The record is from RNAcentral.
UACAGAGGUCUCAAGCGUUGUUCGGAAUCACUGGGCGUAAAGGGUGCGUAGGUGGCGUGGUAAGUCAGAUGUGAAAGCCCGGGGCUCAACCUCGGAAUUGCAUCCGAUACUACCAUGCUAGAGUAUUGGAGAGGAGUCUAGAAUUCACAGUGUAGCAGUGAAAUGCGUAGAUAUUGUGAGGAAUACCAAAGGCGAAGGCAGGACUCUGGACAAUUACUGACACUGAUGCACGAAGGCUAGGGGAGCGAACGGG